RNAcentral lists this ribosomal RNA (499 nucleotides) under uncultured bacterium. RNAcentral describes it as "partial 16S ribosomal RNA". It matches the Rfam family "Bacterial small subunit ribosomal RNA", at positions 28 to 507 of the family's 1533-position model. The record is from RNAcentral.
GAUGAACGCUGGCGGCGUGCCUAAUACAUGCAAGUCGAGCGAACAGACGAGAGUGCUUGCACUCUCUGACGUUAGCGGCGGACGGGUGAGUAACACGUGGGUAACCUACCUAUAAGACUGGGAUAACUUCGGGAAACCGGAGCUAAUACCGGAUAAUAUUUAGCUUCGCAUGAAGCAAUAGUGAAAGACGGUUCUGCUGUCACUUAUAGAUGGACCCGCGGUGUAUUAGCUAGUUGGUGAGGUAACGGCUCACCAAGGCAACGAUACAUAGCCGACCUGAGAGGGUGAUCGGCCACACUGGGAGGGAGACACGGCACAGACUCCUACGGGAGGGAGCAGUAGGGAAUUUUGCGAAAUGGAGGAAAGUCUGAAGGAGCAAUGCCGCGGGAGAGAAGAAGGUUUUCGGAUCGUAAAACUCUGUUGUAAGGGAAGAACAAGUACGUUAGUAACUGAACGUACCUUGACGGUACCUUACCAGAAAGCCACGGCUAACUACGUG